Molecule: long non-coding RNA, 715 nt
Organism: Anopheles merus
Lineage: Eukaryota; Metazoa; Arthropoda; Insecta; Diptera; Culicidae
Exons: 3
Source: RefSeq, a predicted model, not a curated record
UUCGACCGCGGCUCUAGCCUUGCCAGUCUGACAGCAGCGACGGAGACAGGAAAAAUCGUGUGAGAACCGUGGACGGCAAAUUUCGUAAAAUUACCACCAAAAAAUCUGUGAUCAAUUAUAGCGCGUUCAUUCUUCCACUGGUGUUUGCUGUUUUCUUCUCUGCCGCCCCGGUGCCUAUCUCUGCUGUGUUCCUCUCUAGUGUCCUAGUGUUUAAAGUAAUUCGUGUAUAUAGAGCUGUUUGUGUGCGUGAAUUUGUGCGUGUGCUUCUUGAGCAACGAUAGCGAGUCGUCGUGUGUGGCAGCGGUGGUGACGUUUCGAGUGUCAUCUACUGUUGUGUGUGUGUUUCCGUGCUUAAAACCCCGGAAGGACACUCUUAAGGAAUAUUCCCGGUACAGCCAGCAAAAUCAAGUGUAAAAUUCCAUCAUCACCACCAACACCACCAUCAUCACGAAACCAAAUCCAACCUUCGCGCCCAGGAAGGAACUCUGGAUUUGAUCGAAUUCCAUCCGUCCAUACGAAAAUUGGACACUCUGUCUAUGAUGGCUCUCAACAUUGCUGUGCCGAUGUCGGGCGUAGGUGACCUCCUGGAGGAUUCGGACUGCUUUCGCCGAUUUCUCCCGUGAGCAUCGACUUUCGCAGCAGCAUCAAGAACCCGCUGUCACCAGUUGGUAGCGAAUCCAGCGGCGUAAGUUCGUUGGAUUUGGAAGAUAUCAAG